Long non-coding RNA from Urocitellus parryii (Arctic ground squirrel), 152 nucleotides. The record is from Ensembl. Lineage: Eukaryota; Metazoa; Chordata; Mammalia; Rodentia; Sciuridae.
UUUGUUUUCUGUGGGGCAGCCAGUCCUGGAAGGAAGCCAAUAAGUCCACCAUGAGACCUGCAUUCUUCUCCUCCCMCUCAUCCUCCAAGAACAAGAAGGAGUAGCUUGAGAGCCCACAGGAAAAGGAGCUGAUGGGUCUUGGACACAUUUUC